AAAGAGCAGAGAAUCGCCAAGAAAUCAGGGUGCUCAGCCAUCUGCAGGUGUGGACCCAGGGCCCAAGCCUGUGGCUUCCAGUCAGUCCAGCCCGCACCUCUCCCAUGGGAGGGCCUGAGAGUGUGGGAACAUCCUGGGCCCCUGGGAUCUCAGAGGCUGGACCUUCCUGGAGACUCAGUGAGGAAGUCCCACCUGGCCAUCGUGCAGAAGGUAAACAACGAGGGUGAGGGUGACCCCUUCUACGAGGUCCUGGGCCUGGUCACCCUGGAGGACGUGAUCGAGGAGAUCAUCAAGUCGGAGAUCCUGGACGAGUCCGACAUGUACACUGACAACCGAAGCCGGAAGCGGGUGUCUGAGAAGAACAAGCGUGACUUCUCUGCCUUCAAGGAUGCGGACAAUGAGCUCAAAGUGAAAAUCUCCCCGCAGCUCCUCCUGGCCGCUCAUCGCUUCCUAGCCACGGAGGUCCCCCAGUUUAGCCCCUCCCUGAUAUCAGAGAAGAUCCUGCUGCGGCUACUCAAGUACCCAGAUGUCAUUCAGGAACUCAAGUUUGACGAGCACAAUAAGUACUACGCCCGCCAUUACCUGUAC
Molecule: small RNA, 588 nt
Filed under: Pongo abelii (Sumatran orangutan)
Lineage: Eukaryota; Metazoa; Chordata; Mammalia; Primates; Hominidae
Description: processed transcript
Source: RNAcentral